UGAGUUCCGUACUGCGAUUGAGGAUGA
This 27-nucleotide small RNA is filed under the name Bombyx mori (domestic silkworm). Its description in RNAcentral is "ovarian small RNA-32300". The record is from RNAcentral. Lineage: Eukaryota; Metazoa; Arthropoda; Insecta; Lepidoptera; Bombycidae.